AACUGAUGUAGCAUAGUGGUUAGGGUGUAAGGCUGCAACGCAGGUGGCCAGGAUUUGAAUCCCCGAUCAGUUG
Molecule: non-coding RNA, 73 nt
Organism: Gymnothorax javanicus (giant moray)
Lineage: Eukaryota; Metazoa; Chordata; Actinopteri; Anguilliformes; Muraenidae
Source: the annotation of a GenBank genome assembly